RNAcentral lists this ribosomal RNA (253 nucleotides) under uncultured bacterium. RNAcentral describes it as "partial 16S ribosomal RNA". It matches the Rfam family "Bacterial small subunit ribosomal RNA", at positions 524 to 776 of the family's 1533-position model. The record is from RNAcentral.
UACGAGGGGGGCGAGCGUUGCUCGGAAUUAUUGGGCGUAAAGGGUGCGUAGGCGGUUUGGUAAGUCUUGUGUGAAAUCUACAGGCUCAACUUGUAGUCUGCACGAGAAACUGCCGGGCUUGAGUAUGGGAGAGGUGAAUGGAAUUCCUGGUGUAGCGGUGAAAUGCGUUGAUAUCAGGAGGAACACCCAUGGCGAAGGCAGUUCACUGGGCAUCAUCUGACGCUGAGGCGCGAAAGCGUGGGUAGCAAACAGG